AAUAAUAUUUAUAAUUUCACUUGUGCUCGAGGGGAAGUGGAAGUGUGUUUCUGUUUUGGGAUUCUUCUGCUGUCACCGCCGGGAAAUUGCGGGAAAAUGGAAACUGAAUCUGAAUCCCUAGUUGUCUCAGAAACCAAUCCCAAUCAUCCGCCGGGGCGUCACCGGAAUUUCGAGGUAGAGGAAGAAGGCGGACGAGAAUGGAACGGCGAGUCGAAGGCAAAUGCGACGCCGUUCGAUCAGAAGGAACUUCUGAGGGCCCUCGAGGUCGUCGAGAGGGACUCGACGGCGAUCGCUCAGAGCUUCACCUCUCUCUUCGCUUCUCUCCGCUUGGCUCUCUCCGAGGUAACUGGCAGUUCUGUUAACCAUAUGCAAUGCUUCAAUGAUGCUGCAGGCCAAGUUCAAGAAUGUGCACUUGAUGCAGCAACAAAAGGGAAUCGCUAUAUAAAUUCCUGUCUCAGAUUAAAUGAAGAAAUGAAAGGCAUUGACAGUCUAGCCACUCAACUAAAAAUCUUAAGGAGAAAUGUAGACACAUUGGACUCAGCCGUGAAUAGGCUUCUCCGUCUCCCCUGAUAGUAGUGUCCCGUAUGACAUAAACUUUGUCGAAUGAGAAAGCUUGCUGCUUCAAGUUUCCUUCUAUCUGUACAUUAAAUGACCAAUUCAGAAGUUGCUUAUUGCACGGUGCCACCGUUGAUUCAAUUGCUCGAUGUGAUUGCUCAUGAGGUUGUGUUUCCAACUCUGAUUGCUUGAUUUUCUCUCGUCGUCGAUUGUUCGAUGCUUUUGCUGUCGUUGAUUCAAAUGCUCAAUGCUUAGUUGCUCAGUGUGAUUGCUUGUGAGGUUGCGUUUCCAACUCCAAUUGCUCAAUUCCCUCUCGUUGUCGAUUGCUUUGUAUUAUGUUCGAUUAUUUCUUAAAAUUUAUUGUUUGUUUUUAUUUAUUAAAUCAUGGUAAAUGAUGAUAGAAUUUAUGCUUAUAUUUGUUUGAAUGAAUUGUGGAUCUAUGAUGUUUGAAAACUUCUCGAGGGCGUCGUUUCGAAAAGUUUUUUUUGAAACAUCAAAAACGUUUUUGGGUUGCUUUUGUAAUUUUAAAAUUUUUUUGUUAUCAUUUCGUAAUAUUAG
Diospyros lotus (date-plum) is the source of this 1113-nucleotide RNA transcript. RefSeq lists it as uncharacterized. The record is from RefSeq and is a predicted model, not a curated record. Lineage: Eukaryota; Viridiplantae; Streptophyta; Magnoliopsida; Ericales; Ebenaceae. The transcript is spliced from 6 exons.